AGAAUCCUCAGAGGGAGAAUGAAAUCCUUCCUGCCGUGCUUGGGCUUCCCCGAAGCCAAGGCAACUGCAUGUCAACAAAGAGGCUCUGCCGAGCGAGAAAAGGAAUCUGGCUCCGUUUGUGGAAGGAAGGGCGUGCAAGUGCUGCUGCUGCUGCUGUCUUGCGCGCUUGCUUGUGCUGAGUAGCCCCACUGGCUGUGGGGAGAGAGGGAAAGAGAGGGAAAAAAGGGGGGCUCAUAAGACAUCUGUACAUUUUGUUAAGUAGCUGAUUAUCACACAAAAGUAAGCAUGCCUACAGAAACAGGGAAAACAGAUAUGGAGAGGAUUGGCCUCUUCAGUGAAAUGGAAUAUAUUACUGUUGGGGAAAAAUAUGUAUCACCAUUUAACCGCCCUUUUAAUGAAGCUGCAAGCAAGAACAAGCAAAUGUUGCCAGGGGGUCACAAAGAGAAGGCAGCUACCCAGGCAGGUUACUUUGAACCUGUGUUUUCAAGAAUUUUGGAAGGUGAAAGUUAUUCAAAUCCCGUUCAGCUAAGGAGGCAAUAUCGAUUGGCAGAGGCAAAGAAAAACCUGGGAAGUAAACCAUUCCUUCCUAGUAAUGGAGAUAAAUUUCCCAACGGUGCAGGAACUUACUAUGGAACAAUUGGAGGCCCAUGUGCCUCCUUUAGUGCACAAAAAAAAGACCGGAUACCAUAUGUUCAACCUGGGAAGAAUUUGUAUACCAAUCCAGGCAAAAAGGGAACUGGCUAUGGGUACGCAAAUCUCACCAUAGGUAAACCAUACGCACACUCAGUUGAAUUAUAUGAUAUAGGAAGAAUAAACUUUAAGAAAACAUCUGAAGAGCACCAUCGUCUAAUGAAAGGUGGACCUUUCAAGUUGAAUCUUUAUCCCCGAGAAUAUUUUGAUCUGAAUCCAUACCAUGAUGACCAACCGUUGCCACCACCAAAGAAACAACCUGCAAAAGUACCAAUUUCACACCCUUUUAAGCCAACUUCUCCAGCCAAAAAGUCAGGGGGCAUGAAAGCAGGCACCUUUGAUCCUUAUCCAACUCAUUCCACAGACCCCUUCAUAGUUAGGUUGCCUAGGCCUAUCACAACCAACAAACAAGGACAAGUAUUUCAUCCAUCUCCUGGAAGUAAGAGCAGACCAGUGAGAAGUAUUAUGGCAGCAAAUGUUGAAAAGGUGAACAGAACUGAAAUGCCACAGAAAUCGUCAGUGCAGCAAACUACAGAAUGCUUCAAGGAGAAAGGGCAAGAAUCGAAAAAGGCAGAGUGUCUGCCCUGCACUGAUGAUAAUGCACAUACUAUCCCGUUGUGAUGAAGGGAAGAAUCAGCUGCUAUCUCACAGAGGAUGGAUGCAAUGGCAUCGCACAGUGUCAUGUCCUGAGGAUCUCGCAGCUGGGGCUGCCUCUUUCGGAGCACUCCUGGAUUCCUGCAACACAGCCUGGGUAAAUGACACGACUCCCUCGGCAAUCUUCCUUCGCUCCCCGCCCGACCCUCUUUUGACCCUAUUAGGCGCCUAACUCACUAUAGCCAACACCGGCUCUCAUCGCGUCCUGCGUCGCCGGCGCGCCGGUCGCCCCAUUCAAAUUGCGGCUGGCUCUGACACCCAAACCGCCGCCCGCCCAAAGCUACCGGACGUUGCUCAGCAACGAAUCUCCAUAGAGACGGGAACGGGGAGAACAACGGCUGCGGGAAGGAGCCCCUCGUGUCUGCUCUUGCGCCCCCUGGAGGCUGCGAACUGUUCCGGCCGGACUUGCUCUUGGCGCUAGCCGCCUGGGAGUGAUAAAAGCGUCGAGCAGGGAGAGUCUCUUAAAAGGUCUUUAUCAUUUCUCGGCAUUUCACCAUAGAGCUCUUGGAGAAAUAGAACUGCAAUUCUUCUCGCAGGGCAAAGAACAGAUGGUCCCAUGAGCCAUUUUCCACUUAUAUUUAGUGUUACAAUAUCAUUAAAUAUUAUUUAAUAAUAAUAUUUAAUAUUAGACGGGGCAAACAUAGGACCCUCUAAUGCAAACACAACGAUGACAGGGUUCUAGUGUAUGGAUUUAAAAUUUAAUGUAAAUUUCACAAACUGGCUAACAACUGAGCCUAGAUAACAUUGUGAAGUAUUAGCUACAUGCAGAUCCUCACCACCUCUAGGAAACCCAUCAUUAGUAUUUUAUUCUGAUGUCACUAUUCCACAUAAGCUGGUGCUUUAUUCUCUGAGGGUUCAUACCAUUUAUUAGGUAAAGCUAUCCAAAUAUGCUUUGGUUGAUUUAAAAACAAACAGCAUAACAUCUAUUUUCUUAAGAUAAAGUAGUAUAACAUCUCUAGUUUUAUAAUACGCAGAGUGCCUAGUCUCUCCAUCUCCUGCUCCUUCACUCUCUUUCUUUGAUCCUUCCAUAAAAUAAGACUGUACUUUGUCCAACAUGGAAAUAGUUCCAAGUAACAGCUAGAUUCUAUAGUAUAAAAAGCAAGGAAUCCUUCGUUUCUCCCUUUCUUGGUUCCAGGAAGCCUGGGGGCAGCUCCAGGCCCCACCUGUAAUGACCUCAAGCCUAAAUUCAGUACCUGCAGAUCUGUGCUGCUCCACGUCAUCUUGGGAAUCUGAACUUGCCACUGUGUUCAGAUUCUGGCAAUUUCUAUGAUGCUACUAUCGAAUUAACUUCCCCCCAUCCCUUAUAAUCUGGGGGCACAUGCUGCCAGAUUCAAUAAUCAGGAAAACUCAAAAGCUUGCAUAUUUUUUGUCAUCUCUUGGGUGGUCAGUAAAGGGUUUUGAGCACAAUCUUGUGCCUGUUUAGAUCGAAACAAGUUCUGCCACUACUGAUAUUCCUUAGCCAGUGCAACUGGCUGGGGAAUGCUGGCUGGCAAUUCUAGGGUCCUUUUCUUUGUAAACAAGGACCCUUGGGAUUAUGGGAUUAUGUCCUAAAUCCAUGUACUGGAAUUUUGUAAUGACUCACUGGACUGGAUUCUGGUUUAUUCAACUGGGGUUUUGUGUGUCUGAUCCAGGUGGGAGGUCUUCAGUGGAAGGAUAAUUUUGUUGUGUAAAUUAUGUCUUUAAGAGCCAUUAGAUUUGCAGUAGUUAUGCCUAGACUCAGAUAAUUGAGAUAAUAUAUGUAAACUUCGAAUCUCCAAGUUCUAGCUACAUUUGGCAGCAUCAUUAAAUUUAAUGAGAUUAAAUGAGCCAGUUUAAGUAAUCGGCUGUUUCAUUAUUCUGUGUGGUAUGAAUGAGCAGUUUCUCUUUAUUACUGAGUUGCUUUUGUUUCAUGAAAGAAGCAGAAUUGCAGGAUUUGUUUUUUAGGGUGGGGGCAUUAUCCUUUCGUGAAUCAAUGGAAAGCCAGAAGUGAGUCUCAAACAAAUCCAGGUGCGUUUAUUGAAAUCAAGCCAGUGGAUUCAUCCAAGGAGCAUGCAUAGCAGGAUCGGCUUAUCACAUUCUGAAGUAACAUACAUUCCACUCUAAAGACAAAAGUCUCCAUUUGGUCCAGAGUCUAAAAUUACCUGACUGUGCCACUGGUUAGUGUAACAGAGUAGCUUUAAUCUGAUCUAGGGCACAACCCUAGGAUAUAUUUAUUGGACAUUGACUGUAUUGGGUAGGGGUUGAACUGUGGGCUGUUACUGAAACACAGGUUAUCAUGUUGUCUGAACCUUGCUGCACUAACUACAAACAAUCCAUGAAGUGAACCCAUGAUAUGUUGUUAGGUUCUGAACUGUGGGUUGCCAUUUGUUGUUAUCUCAGUUCGGUGGAGACAACACAAUAAUCCAUGUUUCAACAUCCCUCUCCCCACUCCAGUUCAACAAGAACCCAUACUCAACCCUUGAUAGUGGGUUUUCAUGUUGUUUGAACCCAAUCUUUCCUGGACCUGAGAUAAUAAACCUGAGAUAAUGA
Varanus komodoensis (Komodo dragon) is the source of this 3852-nucleotide RNA transcript. It is a transcript of the gene named chromosome unknown C4orf47 homolog, with no coding region annotated. Lineage: Eukaryota; Metazoa; Chordata; Lepidosauria; Squamata; Varanidae. The record is from RefSeq and is a predicted model, not a curated record. The transcript has 9 exons.